AGUGGAUGGGGAGCAACCUAGUUGUGCGUGUGUAAAGGUAGUGCCAAGAAAAGCGAUGAUCAUGUUGAAAAUCAAUUCCCGGUACCCGAAACCGACACAGGUGGGCAAGUAGAGAAUACUAAGGGGCGCGAGGUAACUCUCUCCAAGGAACUCGGCAAAAUGACCCCGUAACUUAGGGAGAAGGGGUGCCACCGAGAGGUGGUCGCAGUGAAGAGGCCCAGGCGACUGUUUAGCAAAAACAUAGGUCUCUGCAAACUCGAAAGAGGAGGUAUAGGGGCUGACGCCUGCCCAGUGCCGGAAGGUUAAAGAAGUUGGUCAGUUUUAGGAUGAAGCUAGCGACUGAAGCCCCGGUGAACGGCGGCCGUAACUAUAACGGUCCUAAGGUAGCGAAAUUCCUUGUCGGGUAAGUUCCGACCCGCACGAAGGGCGUAACGAUCUGGGCGCUGUCUCGGAGAGAGGCUCGGCGAAAUAGGAUUGUCUGUGAAGAUACGGACUACCUGCAUUUGGACAGAAAGACCCUAUGAAGCUUUACUAUAGCUUGGAAUUGUGUUCGGGCUUCCUGUGCGCAGGAUAGGUGGGAGGCGUAGAAGGUAUUCUUGUGGGGAUACUGGAGCCAACGGUGAGAUACCACUCUCAGGAGGCUAGAAUUCUAACUUAAUUAAGGACAGUUUCAGGUGGGUAGUUUGACUGGGGCGGUCGCCUCCAAAAAGGUAACGGAGGCGUACAAAGGUUCCCUCAGACUGGUUGGAAAUCAGUCGAAGAGUGCAAAGGCAGAAGGGAGCUUGACUGCGAGAAGUACAGUUCGAGCAGGGUGGAAACACGGUCUUAGUGAUCCGACGGUGCUGUGUGGAAGGGCCGUCGUUCAACGGAUAAAAGUUACUCUAGGAUAACAGGCUGAUCUCCCCCAAGAGUUCACAUCGACGGGGAGGUUUGGCACCUCGAUGUCGGCUCAUCGCAACCUGGGGCGGAAGUACGUCCCAAGGGUUGGGCUGUUCGCCCGUUAAAGCGGUACGUGAGCUGGGUUCAGAACGUCGUGAGACAGUUCGGUCCAUAUCCGAUGUAGGCGUGAGAAUAUUGAGAGGAGCCUUCCUUAGUACGAGAGGACCGGGAAGGACGCACCGCUGGUGUACCUGUUAUGAUGCCAAUUGUAAACGCAGGGUAGCCAAGUGCGGAGAGGAUAACCGCUGAAAGCAUCUAAGUGGGAAGCCCACCUCAAGAUGAGUAUUCUGGUGUAAGGUCACGGGAAGACGACCCGUAAAUAGGCACGAGGUGGAAGUGCAGAGAUGUAUGAAGCCGAAGUGUACUAAUAGACCGUCGGCUUGACC
This 1325-nucleotide ribosomal RNA is filed under the name metagenome. RNAcentral describes it as "bacterial LSU rRNA". It matches the Rfam family "Bacterial large subunit ribosomal RNA", at positions 1561 to 2925 of the family's 2925-position model. The record is from RNAcentral.